UUCCGGUUGAUCCUGCCGGAGGCUACCGCUAUUGGAGUUCGAUUAAGCCAUGCGAGUCCUCGGCGUACCGCUCAGUAACACGUGGGUAACCUGCCCUAUGCUGGGGGAUAACCUCGGGAAACUGAGAAUAAUACCCCAUAGUUCACCACGCCUGGAACGGUGGGUGGACCACGGCAUAGGAUGGGCCUGCGGCGUAUCAGGUUGUAGGGGGUGUAAUGUACCCUCUAGCCCUCUACGCGUACGGGUGUUGAGAGACAUCGCCCGGAGAUGGAUUCUGAGACACGAAUCCAGACCCUACGGGGUGCAGCAGGCGCGAAAACUUGGCAAUGCGAGAAAUCGUGACCAGGGAACUCCAAGUGCAUGGUCUUGGAAUAAGGGGUGGGUAGGUGCCAGCCGCCGCGGUAAUACCGGCGCCCCAAGUGGUAGUCGCUUUUAUUGGGCCUAAAACGUCCGUAGCCGGUCUGGUACAUUCGUGGGUAAAUCAACCAGCUCAACUGGUUGAAUUCUGCGAGCACGGCCAGACUUGGGACCGGGAGAGGUGUGGGGUACUCUCAGGGUAGGGGUAAAAUCCCGUCAUCCUGAGGGGACCACCUGUUGCGAAGGCGCCACACUAGAACGGAUCCGACGGUCAGGGACGAAGCCUAGGGGCACGAACCGGAUUAGAUACCCGGGUAGCCCUAGGUGUAAACGCUGUGGACUUGAUGUUGGGGGCGCGCGCACUCAGUGUCGAAGCGAAGGUGAUAAGUCCACUGCCUGGGGAGUACGGUCGCAAGGCUGAAACUUAAAGGAAUUGGCGGGGGAGC
Molecule: ribosomal RNA, 803 nt
Filed under: uncultured archaeon
Lineage: Archaea
Description: bacterial SSU rRNA
Rfam family: Archaeal small subunit ribosomal RNA
Source: RNAcentral